GAUGAAGAACGCAGCGAAAUGCGAUAAGUAAUGUGAAUUGCAGAAUUCAGUGAAUCAUCGAAUCUUUGAACGCACAUUGCGCCCGCCAGUAUUCUGGCGGGCAUGCCUGUCCGAGCGUCAUUUCAACCCUCGAACCCCUCCGGGGGGUCGGCGUUGGGGAUCGGCCCUUUCACCGGGUGCCGUCCCCCAAAUACAGUGGCGGUCUCGCCGCAGCCUCUCAUGCGCAGUAGUUUGCACACUCGCACCGGGAGCGCGGCGCGUCCACGUCCGUAAAACACCCCAAACUUCUGAAAUGUUGACCUCGGAUCAGGUAGGAAUACCCGCUGAACUUAAGCAUAUCAAUAAGCGGAGA
This 352-nucleotide unclassified non-coding RNA is filed under the name soil metagenome. RNAcentral describes it as "partial contains 5.8S ribosomal RNA, internal transcribed spacer 2, and large subunit ribosomal RNA". The stretch from base 1 to 120 matches the Rfam family "5.8S ribosomal RNA", at positions 35 to 154 of the family's 154-position model. The record is from RNAcentral.